CAACUUUCAGCAAUGGAUCUCUUGGCUCUCGCAUCGAUGAAGAACGCAGCGAAUCGCGAUAAGUAAUGUGAAUUGCAGAUUUUCCGUGAAUCAUCGAAUCUUUGAACGCAUCUUGCGCUCCUCGGUAUUCCGAAGAGCAUGCCUGUUUGAGCGUCGUC
This 158-nucleotide ribosomal RNA is filed under the name Calostoma japonicum. RNAcentral describes it as "5.8S ribosomal RNA". It matches the Rfam family "5.8S ribosomal RNA". Rfam says of the family: 5.8S ribosomal RNA (5.8S rRNA) is a component of the large subunit of the eukaryotic ribosome. It is transcribed by RNA polymerase I as part of the 45S precursor that also contains 18S and 28S rRNA. Functionally, it is thought that 5.8S rRNA may be involved in ribosome translocation. Lineage: Eukaryota; Fungi; Basidiomycota; Agaricomycetes; Boletales; Calostomataceae. RNAcentral also lists the same sequence under 1 other name. The record is from RNAcentral.